RNAcentral lists this non-coding RNA (69 nucleotides) under Arthrobacter sp. Lineage: Bacteria; Bacillati; Actinomycetota; Actinomycetes; Micrococcales; Micrococcaceae. The record is from RNAcentral.
GCCAAGCGGGCACUUCGGUCCGCAUCCGGACGAUGGAGCCGUACCCGGGAUCACGACAAGACGGCCAGA